CGGGAACACCCACCUUUAGAGAUGAGACACAAGCAGGAGAAGAGGGAUUAAACCUGCUAGUUUUGGAAAAAAAAAAAAAAAGGAAAGAAAAGAAAAGAAAGAAAGAAAAACAAAAAACAACAACAAACAGAAAAAUGCAAAACUGCAGAACACGCAGUGGAGGUUGGAUUCAGAGGACAUGGGGAUCAGUGUGGGCUGUGCUGGUCAAGGAGGGCUUCCAGGGAGAGGCAACUGAGGAUUCACUGCAAUUGUUCCUUGAGAAGAUGAGGAUCAGGUCGGGAAUUGGAAACAUCUGAGGGCUCAAUUCAACCUGGCUUCUAAAACGAACAUGGUGAACAUAGAUCAACUACUGAACUUCUUUUAACCUCUGGCAUCCUAUCUGUGAAUUGUGGGGAGGAAACAGGGUCCACCCGCUGCUGCACAAGAGGGGUGUGUGCAGACCGUCACCUUGUGUCUGCUGUAGCAGGAGACCCCUGGCCAUGCGGGACUGAACCCAUGAUUGCAGCUGAUCUUACUCUGUCUCUUCUCUGUGUGAGUAAAGUGUUGUUCCAUCUAGUGCCUGUGUGAGUCGUGUCUUUCGUGGCGACACCUAUAAACCAUGGAGUGGGCUGACAUCCUGGUUCUGCUGCUCCUGGUGGCGGGCAUUGUUGUGCUGUUUGCCGUCCUCUACACAGUGCGAAUCUUCUCUACCCUGCCCGAGUCUCGGCAUCUCCACAUGUGCCAUGAGGAUGGUAAUGCUUUACAGAACUGAAGACUCACAUCAAAAUGCUGCCUGCUUCCAUGAGGCUUGUAGUGACAUCCAUGUACAAGUUCAAAGACCCUCUGAGCCAAUUUCCACUUCUCUGCAUGUCUCUGGGGACCUAGGGGACCAGGAUUACUAUAAAAGCAGCGUCCUCAUCCUGAGGGUGACCACACAGCAGUCUUCCCAGGGAAGCCACAGGAGUGAGCCAUGGGAACCUCACACACCAAGCAACUAGGCUCCAGGACACCAGGGGCAGACCAAGAGCACAAGAAGGCUGACCUUGAACUCCUCAAGAUGCUUGCUCCUGGGAUUCUCCAGCUGCAAUCAGCAUCCCCCACCCCCACUUGCCUGCGGUUGCUACAUGGGUCAGACAGCAAGGACCACAGGGGCACUAAGUUUGCUGCUGACUCUUGACCUCAGAUGGGCUAUUUGGCCAAGGGCCCAGCUCUCCCUCCAAUGUAGAGGAGGCAGGGAGGCAGGAGCCAGCAAGAAGUUCCUCCAGGCAAAGGGAAAGUGGCAAAGAUACUCAAGAGCUCACAGGUACCUAGCACACAUUGCCCAUGGGCACACAUAUCACUCUGCAAACUAUACACGAAACCCCUGAAAUUCAGGAGUACACAAGCCCCCACAAAAUGUAGGACCACAUGCUUCAAUAUUCACUUUCCAACAUAUUCAGAUCCACAGAAACACAAAUAGCCCCGCGUAAUGUGCAUACAAACACAUCUAUAUCAUGCUGCAACAUGCCCACACUUACACGUUUCCCCCAAAACAGCAUGAAAUCAAUCUGGGCACCUCACUUCUAUGGAAAACUUGCUCUCUGAAGUGUGAACAUUUGUGCACACACACAAAUACACCUAC
Molecule: long non-coding RNA, 1600 nt
Filed under: Homo sapiens (human)
Lineage: Eukaryota; Metazoa; Chordata; Mammalia; Primates; Hominidae
Description: HSALNT0382224
Source: RNAcentral